RNAcentral lists this ribosomal RNA (483 nucleotides) under Paracoccus seriniphilus. Its description in RNAcentral is "bacterial SSU rRNA". It matches the Rfam family "Bacterial small subunit ribosomal RNA", at positions 193 to 697 of the family's 1533-position model. Lineage: Bacteria; Pseudomonadati; Pseudomonadota; Alphaproteobacteria; Rhodobacterales; Paracoccaceae. The record is from RNAcentral.
CCUUCGGGGGAAAGAUUUAUCGGAGAAGGAUUAGCCCGCGUUGGAUUAGGUAGUUGGUGGGGUAAUGGCCUACCAAGCCUACGAUCCAUAGCUGGUUUGAGAGGAUGAUCAGCCACACUGGGACUGAGACACGGCCCAGACUCCUACGGGAGGCAGCAGUGGGGAAUCUUAGACAAUGGGGGAAACCCUGAUCUAGCCAUGCCGCGUGAGUGAUGAAGGCCUUAGGGUUGUAAAGCUCUUUCAGCUGGGAAGAUAAUGACGGUACCAGCAGAAGAAGCCCCGGCUAACUCCGUGCCAGCAGCCGCGGUAAUACGGAGGGGGCUAGCGUUGUUCGGAAUUACUGGGCGUAAAGCGCACGUAGGCGGACUGGAAAGUUGGGGGUGAAAUCCCGGGGCUCAACCUCGGAACUGCCCUCCAAAACUAUCAGUCUGGGAGUUCGAGAGAGGGGGAUGGGAAUACCCGAGUGGUAGAAGGUGAAAAUUC